RNAcentral lists this ribosomal RNA (942 nucleotides) under Wallemia muriae. RNAcentral's name for it is "LSU rRNA". It matches the Rfam family "Eukaryotic large subunit ribosomal RNA", at positions 38 to 964 of the family's 3401-position model. Lineage: Eukaryota; Fungi; Basidiomycota; Wallemiomycetes; Wallemiales; Wallemiaceae. The record is from RNAcentral.
GCAUAUCAAUAAGCGGAGGAAAAGAAACUAACAAGGAUUCCCCUAGUAACGGCGAGUGAAGAGGGAAAAGCUCAAAUUUAAAAGCUGUUGCCUUUCAGGUAACCGCAUUGUAAUCUCAAGAAGUGUUUUCGAUUGUAGCCUGCGUAUAAGUACCUUGGAAUAGGUUGGCAUAGAGGGUGAAACUCCCGUCUUUGAUGCAGAUUACUAUGAUCAUGUGAUACACUUUCUAAGAGUCGAGUUGUUUGGGAAUGCAGCUCAAAAUGGGUGGUAAAUUCCAUCUAAAGCUAAAUAUUGGCCUGAGACCGAUAGCGAACAAGUACCGUGAGGGAAAGAUGAAAAGCACUUUGGAAAGAGAGUCAAACAGAACGUGAAAUUGCUGAAAGGGAAGCGUUUGAAGUUAGUCUGAUAGAAGUUGUUCAAUUGUUACUUUGGUUUCAAUGUAUGCAACUUUUUAUCGGUCAACAUCAAUUUUGAUUGAUGGAUAAAGGUAAUAGAAAUGUGGCUACAUUUGUAGUGUUAUAGUCUAUUAUCAUAAACAUUGAUUGAGAUUGAGGACGGCAGUGUACCUUUUAGGAAGGUGUUCGCACCUAUUACACUAAGGAUGUUGACAAAAUAGCUUUAAGCGACCCGUCUUGAAACACGGACCAAGGAGUCUAACAUAUCUGCGAGUAUUUGAGUGACAAACUCGAAUGCGUAAUGAAAGUGAAUGUAGGUGUGAAGCGUAAGCUGCAACAUCGACCGAUCUGGAAUUUUUAUAAUGAUGGAUUUGAGUAAGAGCAUAUAUGUUGGGACCCGAAAGAUGGUGAACUAUGCCUGAAUAGGGUGAAGCCAGAGGAAACUCUGGUGGAGGCUCGUAGCGGUUCUGACGUGCAAAUCGAUCGUCAAAUUUGGGUAUAGGGGCGAAAGACUUAAUCGAACCAUCUAGUAGCUGGUUCCUGCCGA